Molecule: non-coding RNA, 2664 nt
Organism: Meleagris gallopavo (turkey)
Lineage: Eukaryota; Metazoa; Chordata; Aves; Galliformes; Phasianidae
Source: RefSeq, a predicted model, not a curated record
AAUGUCGCAUUGAAGUGCUUCAAGAUUAUAUUUUUGCCUACUGAUUGUCAUGAUACGGAUUGCUAAAUCAAAUCUGAAUUACUGUUUACUUUACCCUAACUGUAAAGCCAGCGAGCUACGCACCAACUUUUUUAGCAAGACUCUGGGACUCAGCAGAACUCUGUGAACUAGUCUUGGAUUUCCACUCACUGCUACUCCUAGUCUUAUGCAAACUACUUUUUGUGGCUGUUGUCUUCUAAAAAAUGUUGGGAUGAAAAGGACUGGUUACCUUAUUAUAAUUAGUCAAGAAAACCCAAAUUUUCUCAUUUGCUAGCAGGCAGCACACUCAUUUCAUUAACUCAAAACUACAGAGCUGAAAAUACCAUGCACUUCUGCUUGCUCAUCCUGUUCUAGCUGCUCCUGGGUCUCUCCACUCUGUAGUGGCAGGUUUCAUACAUAUGGGGGAGCUUCCUGGCUCUGUCUGUGUGACAUCAGAAUGCUGUUGCCAUGUGGAGCACAAUUGCACCAUGCAGCUUCUCCCUGCAAGGGCUACCCCUCACCCAGCCCAGGCAAUUUCCUACUUCAGCAUGGAAUGAAUCUACUCCACUAUGGAGCUUUGAAAUGUGUAAUAAUCCACGAGCAAUAUCAAGAUAAAUGAGCAGCCACACCAAUGAGUAAAUGGAUAUAGGAAACAUUGGAAAAUAUGGAGACGCGUUAAAUUACGGACUUGAAACUGGGCUGGACCAAGUCAAGCUUUGAUCAGCAGGCUGUGGAUCUUCUGAGAUAACACAGAUCCAGAGAAAGAGAGUAUAUGUUAGAAUAUAUUCAGUGAUACAUUAAUAUGGUUAUAUGCCUUGAACUGCUGUCUGAUAAAAUGAACUCUUUGAACUCUAAACUCACCUGUGGAGUCUUGCUGUUGAAGUCCAAGUUAGAUCAGUGCCCUAUUACAUGGGUUACAUGAUGCUUAAGCAUUGUAAAUUAGGAAAUGUAAUAAUAUAUGCUCUGUACUUAUUACUAUCUUUACUAUUUGGUAAAUGUUAGAUUAUCCUCUCUGGGAAACAAUGAAUUAAUGUAUUAUUUUAAUACGAAGAGAAUUCAUGCUUUUUUUAACUGUAGGCCUUUAAUUUUCUGGACUGAAGGUGAACUUUAAAAUCUGCAGAGGAUCUGAAGGGAUCCUCUGCAAUGGAACAAGGUAUAAGUUUGGCAUAGGCAUUUUCCAUCAGAUUUUUUUUUUAAUUAUUCUCUGGCUUCACAGAAGACUUCUGAGGGGAGUCAUUACUGGUGUUCUUCAUACCAUUCUGGUUGCUUGCAACAUGCUCAGAUUUUAUCAGACUUCAACUUUUUUGGCUAUGCAGAAAUUUUCUGCUUUGGAAGUAUAUUUAGGAAUGUAAAUAGAUACAGCCAGACAUAGUGGUGUUAAUUGUAUUACUUUGAACUUGGAGAAUCCCCUUGCCUUCCCUAUGAGAUCAGGAACUGUGAUUCUAUGAUUCUGCUGUUCAGUGACUAGCACAGCAGUGCACAAGGGUUAUUUGGGCGUUAAAUAGGUCCCAUUCAACAUGUGAAAUUUUUAUCCAAAGAAAUCCCUGUAUUUACUGCAAGUAAGAAGCAGAGCAGGGCAAAUGCCAAAUUAAGGGCUAUCACUUGAAUAUUUAUUAUUUACUUAGUUAAAUUCACUUUGUUUAUAUUUUAGAUGGUAUAGUGGACUUGAUGUAGGACUAAUUAUCAGUUUUUAUACUUGGUUUAUUGAAAAUGGUUGAUUUUCCAUAGACGUGUGUUUCCUAAAUACCACAGGCUAAACCUACAUUCUGAUACACUGUUUCUUUAAUAGCACACUAAGUCCUCAGUUCAGCUACUCACGUAUCUCUUAUGUAUAUAUAAAAGCACUGGAUUGUCAUAUACCACAUAACUUCAUGCUUUUAUAUAUCUCAAAAUUCCUUUCAAGACAGUUCUGAAUCUGCUCAGGAGAAUACAUAACAAUAUUACAGUGUAACAUCUGGUGUGCUAUGUGGAAAUCUGCCAUUCUUCUUCCAUGCAAGCUAGGAACCAUGGCAAGAUAUUGAUGCCUCAUUCAAUGCUUAGCAUAGCUCGCUCAAUUCCUAUUGCUGGAAACAACUAGUCUAUGUACCGAUACAGAAGAUGAUAGAACUAUUUUGUUUUAUAUGAGGAAAAGCAUUUGACAUACUUAUAAGUCUCAGAUAUAUUUUUGCAGUCUCAGUGGGGAUUUAUGUUUUUUGGGAUAAAUUAUCACUUGAUUGACUUCUUAUUCCAACUUUAUCCUCUGUAAGGCCACAGAUAACUUUCUAUUGAUGAAUAUUUUCUAGACUGAUUUUUUUUCAUCCUUGCUUGCUGUUCCUCUCUUGCCCUGUACAAGUGUGGACCUAAUGAUAUUAGUAGUACAUUCUACUGAUAUGUAUUUAACGUUCCAGUAAAAAAUGUUUCUGCUAGAUCAAAAAUCAGAUGAGGAUAAUAACAUAAAUUUCUCACUAUGAAAAAACUGAUGGGAUCCUUUAAAGAGAGUAAAUUCCUUCACUGUGAAAAAUAAGAUGCAGAGUUGUACUCUGCAUGCUAAUCCUUACUUUACUCGGCACGUGAGGAAUGUCUCCAUGUCUUUUUCCAGUACAUAUGGCGUGAUUUGGAAAAAGGCCAUCCACCCUUUUUAUGCCCUGUGGCAUAAAAAAAAAAAAA